UGGGGAAUAUUGCACAAUGGACGGAAGUCUGAUGCAGCGACGCCGCGUGGGGGAUGAAGGCUUUCGGGUUGUAAACUCCUUUCAGUACAGAAGAAGCUUUAUUGUGACGGUAUGUGCAGAAGAAGCGCAGGCUAACUACGUGCCAGCAGCCGCGGUAAUACGUAGGGCGCGAGCGUUGUCCGGAAUUAUUGGGCGUAAAGAGCUCGUAGGCGGUUUGUCGCGUCUGCUGUGAAAGACCGGGGCUUAACUCCGGGGCUGCAGUGGGUACGGGCAGGCUGGAGUGCGGUAGGGGUAACCGGAAUUCCUGGUGUAGCGGUGGAAUGCGCAGAUAUCAGGAGGAACACCGAUGGCGAAGGCGACUUACUGGGCUCAUUCUGACGCUGAGGAACGAAAGCGUGGGUAGCAAACAGG
This 411-nucleotide ribosomal RNA is filed under the name Verrucomicrobiota bacterium. Its description in RNAcentral is "Verrucomicrobia bacterium partial 16S ribosomal RNA". It matches the Rfam family "Bacterial small subunit ribosomal RNA", at positions 355 to 776 of the family's 1533-position model. Lineage: Bacteria; Pseudomonadati; Verrucomicrobiota. The record is from RNAcentral.